GUCCUCCGAGACAGCACACGGGAACCCACACGGCACUCCGAAGGACGUCACUAGGAGGGGGACCAGGUGUGACCCUGAAGACUGGGAGUGCCACCCUGACCAGGCUGAAGCUGACAUGAUUAGCAAGCAUCGUAACCUUGCAACCAAUGGGAACCUGAGGAACUGCAUCACAAAAGUGAAAGGGACGCCCACCCAGCACUUCUUCGAGGAUGGUGCCUUGAAGAAGGGAGAAGUGCGCCUAAAGUGAAUGCCAUGGCAGGCAUUGCGCUGAGGCUUGGGCCAUGUGGAACUGGAGGCAGCCAAGUCAUCAAAGAAGAUAGGACUUCGGCUCAUUCAGAAACCAUGUGAACUACGGCACAAGAGGCCCAGGGCACCGGGACAGCUGGCUGAAUAAACAGCUAAGCCUUUCAAACAUUGAAGUGUAUGCUAUCCC
This is a long non-coding RNA of Ixodes scapularis (black-legged tick), 433 nucleotides long. RefSeq lists it as uncharacterized. The record is from RefSeq and is a predicted model, not a curated record. The transcript is spliced from 4 exons. NCBI's taxonomy places the organism in Eukaryota, Metazoa, Arthropoda, Arachnida, Ixodida, Ixodidae.